GAAUUCACAGUGUAGCGGUGGAAUGCGUAGAUAUUGUGAAGAAUACCAAUGGCGAAGGCAGCUUCCUGGUUCUGUACUGACACUGAGGUGCGAAAGCGUGGGUAGCGAACAGGAUUAGAUACCCUGGUAGUCCACGCCGUAAACGAUGACAACUAGCUGUUGGGAGACAAGAUCUCUCAGUGGCGCAGCUAACGCUUUAAGUUGUCCGCCUGGGGAGUACGGCCGCAAGGUUAAAACUCAAAUGAAUUGACGGGGACCCGCACAAGCGGUGGAGCAUGUGGUUUAAUUCGAUGCAACGCGAAAAACCUUACCUACUCUUGACAUACUUGGAAGCUCUUGUAAUGAGAGUGUGCUUUUAGAGCCAAGAUACAGGUGCUGCAUGGCUGUCGUCAGCUCGUGUCGUGAGAUGUUGGGUUAAGUCCCAUAACGAGCGCAACCCUUACCCUUAUUUGCCAGCGGUUAGGCCGGGAACUAUAAGGGGACUGCCGGUGACAAACCGGAGGAAGGUGAGGACGACGUCAAGUCAUCAUGGCCCUUACGAGUAGGGCUACACACGUGCUACAAUGGGGAAUACAGACGGACGCUAAAGCGUGAGCUGGUGCCAAUCCUAAAAAAUUUCUCGUAGUCCGGAUUGCAGUCUGCAACUCGACUGCAUGAAGUCGGAAUCGCUAGUAAUCGCGAAUCAGCAUGUCGCGGUGAAUACGUUCUCGGGUCUUGUACACACCGCCCGUCACACCAUGGAAGUGUGUUGCACCAGAAGUAGGUAGUCUAACCUUCGGGAAGGCGCUUACCACGGUGUGAUCCAUGACUGGGGUGAAGUCAUAACAAGGUAGCCGUA
RNAcentral lists this ribosomal RNA (838 nucleotides) under uncultured bacterium. RNAcentral describes it as "bacterial SSU rRNA". It matches the Rfam family "Bacterial small subunit ribosomal RNA", at positions 664 to 1504 of the family's 1533-position model. The record is from RNAcentral.